CGCCUCCUGCAAAAAUCAAUGUAUAAGAGGUCCUACCUGCCCAGUGACAUUAAGUUAAACGGCCGCGGUAUUUUGACCGUGCUAAGGUAGCGCAAUCACUUGUCUUUUAAAUGAAGACCUGUAUGAAUGGUGGAACGAGGGCUUAACUGUCUCCCUUUUCAGGUCAGUGAAAUUGAUCUGCCCGUGCAGAAGCGGACAUAACAAUACAAGACGAGAAGACCCUUUGGAGCUUAAGACACAGGGUCAACUAUGUCAAAAAUUCCCGUAAAUGGUAAUAAAACAAAGUAUUAACUGACCAAAGUCUUCGGUUGGGGCGACCGCGGGGGAAAACGAAGCCCCCAUGUGGAAUGGGAUAAAACCUAAAACCACGAGGGACACCUCUAAGUCACAGAACAUCUGACCAAAAGAUCCGGCACCUAGGCCGAUCAACGAACCAAGUUACCCUAGGGAUAACAGCGCAAUCCCCUCCAAGAGUCCAUAUCGACAAGGGGGUUUACGACCUCGAUGUUGGAUCAGGACAUCCUAAUGGUGCAGCCGCUAUUAAGGGUUCGUUUGUUCAACGAUUAAAGUCCU
RNAcentral lists this ribosomal RNA (573 nucleotides) under Bryconadenos tanaothoros. RNAcentral's name for it is "partial 16S ribosomal RNA". It matches the Rfam family "Bacterial large subunit ribosomal RNA", at positions 1816 to 2597 of the family's 2925-position model. Lineage: Eukaryota; Metazoa; Chordata; Actinopteri; Characiformes; Stevardiidae. The record is from RNAcentral.